This is a long non-coding RNA of Parus major (Great Tit), 1718 nucleotides long. NCBI's taxonomy places the organism in Eukaryota, Metazoa, Chordata, Aves, Passeriformes, Paridae. The record is from Ensembl.
CUCAGGACCAUCAUAACAGACUUGAGAUGCAGGCAGGACCUCUGUUUAGAUCUUAGAUUGUUUCUGGUGCUCACUUUCACCCAGGGCUGAGUCAAGGCAAAAGCCCACCUGAGGUGCUGUCUGGAAGGUUCACAAAGCCAUCAGUCAAUGCUAAAAUGGUGUAUGUGAUAUGCCCUUCUGCAGGUCAUAAAUAUUCAGGGAAACAGAAUGGAGACAAAAGGGAUGAAAAUAAAAAAGAAAGAAAAAUUCAGAGAUAUACCAAAAACUGGAUGCAUUUGUCACAUCAGGUGCACUAUUUACUAUUACUACCAUGAACUUGAGAGAUGAUACUGUACUUGUGGCUGCAAAAGUGAAUGAAGAUAAUGAAACACAGUCAAGGUUGUAGGAAUAGCCCAAUCAAUGUGCACUUCAUGCCCUCCACCAAACCCAGCCUUGCACUCCAUUUCACAAGAAAUUCUCUUCCCCCAUACUGAAUAAGAAACAGCUUUUCAAACUGUUGGAAUCAAACCAGGCAUUUAAUUAAGUUUCUCUGUAUUUGUUCAGUUAGUGAGAAAACAAGCUGUUUCGUGCAGGCUAUUUUUGAGAAGGAACUACAUAAGGGCGAGACUGCAAAUUAGAGAUGGUUGUUAGAAUCACUAUUAUAGGGAUCAUUCUACUCUUCUGUGUGCUGCCUGUUUUCUUCCACGGGCUUCUUGUUCUGUACAACUGACUUUAAUGGCUACAAUUGCAUUUCUGAGCCUGUGAAAUGACCCAAACAACUGCAGUUUAAUGUUAGUGAAUGGAAAGUGAAGAAAUAACUUCUUGUAUUAGCACAGAGAUCUACUCAAAGAAAUAUCCUGACCUGUAUGGAGUUGCAAUGGAAAGGAUUUUAUGUAGGAAUUUUAGAAUUAUUCAGUUGAUUGGAUCCAUUCCUGGAAGAGCACAAAAACGUGACAGAAAUGUUGCUACAAGGACUGCUUCAUACUUUUUGAAAACAUACUGGGUGAAUCUCACCUCCUGAACCAGCAAUUUGUCAGCAAUUACUUCUGAGCCAUGGAAAGUGAAACAUCCAUUUAGAGUUGUCAACUGCACAGAAAUCUUCCAUGUUGAGCAGUUUUUCACGCAGCAAUAUUUAAAGGAUUAUUUCCUAAGGAGUAGUUGCUGUAAAUUUAUCCCUGUUCACUGGAGGUGGUACAUGUCUUCGAGUCCAAAAGUAAAUUUCUUGUAAGAGAAUGCUAUUUCUUUGUCAGAUUCCUGUGUCUGGUUUUAUGACAAUGGGGUAUAUAAGUUGGAACAUAGCAUAUCAAUUCACAGGCAUGGCCAAAAAAAACCCCAAAACGGGAUGAGUUUGCUGAAAAGCUACAUGAGCUUGGCUUGCAGCUGAAGGGCAGGGAAGAAAGGAAUGGGAGCAGCCACUGUCACUCCUGGAAAGCAGCACUCCUUUCAGCAGCACAGCAUGGCUGGCACACACCCUCUCCUGCCGUGGCAGCUCGUUUGGCUUGCUAGAACUCGGGCAUAGCAAAAUAGACAAAGGGACUGUCUUUUUCUGCUGCCCCAGCAAUCUGCUGCCCUAAUUACGUGCCUACAACUUGUGCUGGUUCAUAACCAUGUGAUGAAGGCUUUUCCUCAGGGCUUUUAAUUGAUUGAAGCAGCUCUUGAUUCUCAUGACAAGAGAGGCAAAGUAUAAAGCUCUAAACCUCAGGAAGGGAAAUAAAUAAAUGAGAAAAUAUUUUGCUUCA